AGACCCGAAACCCGGUGAUCUAGCCAUGGGCAGGUUGAAGGUUGGGUAACACUAACUGGAGGACCGAACCGACUAAUGUUGAAAAAUUAGCGGAUGACCUGUGGCUGGGGGUGAAAGGCCAAUCAAACCGGGAGAUAGCUGGUUCUCCCCGAAAGCUAUUUAGGUAGCGCCUCGUGAAUUCAUCUCCGGGGGUAGAGCACUGUUUCGGCUAGGGGGCCAUCCCGGCUUACCAACCCGAUGCAAACUGCGAAUACCGGAGAAUGUUAUCACGGGAGACACACGGCGGGUGCUAACGUCCGUCGUGAAGAGGGAAACAACCCAGACCGCCAGCUAAGGUCCCAAAGUCAUGGUUAAGUGGGAAACGAUGUGGGAAGGCCCAGACAGCCAGGAUGUUGGCUUAGAAGCAGCCAUCAUUUAAAGAAAGCGUAAUAGCUCACUGGUCGAGUCGGCCUGCGCGGAAGAUGUAACGGGGCUAAACCAUGCACCGAAGCUGCGGCAGCGAACGUAUCACCCAAGACAACUUUACGGAGUUGACGAUUGACGGAGCGAAGCGACGUCAAAGCGUUCAUUAAAGUCGAGUUGGCUUAGGGAUACGUUCGUUGGGUAGGGGAGCGUUCUGUAAGCCUGUGAAGGUGUGUCGUGAGGCAUGCUGGAGGUAUCAGAAGUGCGAAUGCUGACAUAAGUAACGAUAAAGCGGGUGAAAAGCCCGCUCGCCGGAAGACCAAGGGUUCCUGUCCAACGUUAAUCGGGGCAGGGUGAGUCGACCCCUAAGGCGAGGCCGAAAGGCGUAGUCGAUGGGAAACGGGUUAAUAUUCCCGUACUUGGUGUUACUGCGAAGGGGGGACGGAGAAGGCUAUGUUGGCCGGGCGACGGUUGUCCCGGUUUAAGCGUGUAGGUGUGUGUUCCAGGUAAAUCCGGUUCACUUUAACACUGAGGCGUGACGACGAGGCACUACGGUGCUGAAGCAACAAAUGCCCUGCUUCCAGGAAAAGCCUCUAAGCAUCAGGUAACACGAAAUCGUACCCCAAACCGACACAGGUG
This 1041-nucleotide ribosomal RNA is filed under the name Salmonella enterica. Its description in RNAcentral is "partial 23S ribosomal RNA". It matches the Rfam family "Bacterial large subunit ribosomal RNA", at positions 711 to 1665 of the family's 2925-position model. Lineage: Bacteria; Pseudomonadati; Pseudomonadota; Gammaproteobacteria; Enterobacterales; Enterobacteriaceae. RNAcentral also lists the same sequence under 1 other name. The record is from RNAcentral.